GAUGAAGAACGUAGCGAAAUGCGAUACGUAAUGUGAAUUGCAGAAUUCAGUGAAUCAUCGAAUCUUUGAACGCACAUUGCGCCUGCCAGCACUCUGGCAGGCAUGCCUGUUCGAGCGUCAUUUCAACCAUCAAGCCCUAGGCUUGCGUUGGAGCCCUGCGGCUGCCGCAGGCCCCUAAAAGCAGUGGCGGGCUCGCUAUCACACCGAGUGCAGUAGAUUACUCUUCGCUAAGGGCGUGUGGCGGGUUCCAGCCGUGAAACCCCCUACUUCUCAAGGUUGACCUCGGAUCAGGUAGGAAUACCCGCUGAACUUAAGCAUAUCAAUAAGCGGAGGA
This 334-nucleotide unclassified non-coding RNA is filed under the name soil metagenome. RNAcentral describes it as "partial contains 5.8S ribosomal RNA, internal transcribed spacer 2, and large subunit ribosomal RNA". The stretch from base 1 to 120 matches the Rfam family "5.8S ribosomal RNA", at positions 35 to 154 of the family's 154-position model. The record is from RNAcentral.